AUGAGCAGGUUGAAGGUGCAGUAACAUGCACUGGAGGCCCGAACCGUUGCACGUUGAAAAGUGCUCGGAUGACCUGUGUCUAGGGGUGAAAGGCCAAUCAAACUUGCUGAUAGCUGGUUCUCUGCGAAAUCUAUUUAGGUAGAGCGUUAGAUGAAUACCAUCGGGGGUAGAGCACUGGAUGGGCUAGGGGGUCUCACCGACUUACCAAACCUAACCAAACUCCGAAUACCGAUGAGUAAUAUCUGGCAGACACACUACGGGUGCUAAGGUCCGUAGUGGAAAGGGAAACAGCCCUGACCGCCAGCUAAGGUCCCUAAGUUAUGGCUAAGUGGGAAAGGAUGUGAGAGUGCAUAGACAACCAGGAUGUUGGCUUAGAAGCAGCCAUCAUUUAAAGAAAGCGUAACAGCUCACUCAUCAAGCGAUCCUGCGCCGAAAAUGUAACGGGGCUAAAGCCAUUUACCGAAAUUGUGGGCUUCUUUUAGAAGCGGUAGCGGAGCGUUCCGUAAGCCUGCGAAGGUGACCUGUGAGGGUUGCUGGAGGUAUCGGAAGUGAGAAUGUUGACAUGAGUAGCGACAAAGCGGGUGAGAGACCCGCUCGCCGAAAAUCCAAGGGUUCCUGCGUAAAGCUAAUCUGCGCAGGGU
RNAcentral lists this ribosomal RNA (641 nucleotides) under Schmidingerella taraikaensis. RNAcentral's name for it is "partial Bacterial large subunit ribosomal RNA". It matches the Rfam family "Bacterial large subunit ribosomal RNA", at positions 736 to 1380 of the family's 2925-position model. The record is from RNAcentral. Lineage: Eukaryota; Ciliophora; Spirotrichea; Tintinnida; Rhabdonellidae.